AACGAACGCUGGCGGCGUGCCUAACACAUGCCAAGUCGAGCGAGAAAGUCCCUUCGGGGGCGAGUAAAGCGGCGGACGGGUGAGUAAUACAUGGAUAAUCUUCCCUCGAGCCUGGGAUAACCCUGCGAAAGUGGGGCUAAUACCGGAUAAGACCACAUGACACAUAGUCACGGGGUAGAAGGUGGCUUGUAUUUAUAUGAGCUAUCACUUGAGGAUGAGUCCAUGGCCUAUCAGCUAGUUGGUGAGGUAAGAGCUUACCAAGGCUAUGACGGGUAGCUGGUCUGAGAGGACGACUAGGCCACACUGGGACUGAGACACGGUCCAGACUCCUACGGGAGGCAGCAGUGGGGAAUAUUGGACAAUGGGGGCAACCCUGAUCCAGCCAUGCCGCGUGUGUGAAGAAGGCCUUCGGGUUGUAAAGGCACUUUAAGCGGGAGGAAGGCCGUGAUGGCUAAGUAUCCAUCGGGAUUGACGUUACCCGCAGAAUAAGCACCGGA
This 497-nucleotide ribosomal RNA is filed under the name uncultured bacterium. RNAcentral's name for it is "bacterial SSU rRNA". It matches the Rfam family "Bacterial small subunit ribosomal RNA", at positions 29 to 497 of the family's 1533-position model. The record is from RNAcentral.